RNAcentral lists this ribosomal RNA (468 nucleotides) under uncultured bacterium. RNAcentral's name for it is "partial 16S ribosomal RNA". It matches the Rfam family "Bacterial small subunit ribosomal RNA", at positions 28 to 507 of the family's 1533-position model. The record is from RNAcentral.
GACGAACGCUGGCGGCGUGCUUAACACAUGCAAGUCGAACGGAAAGGCCCUGCUUUUGUGGGGUGCUCGAGUGGCGAACGGGUGAGUAACACGUGAGUAACCUGCCCUUGACUUUGGGAUAACUUCAGGAAACUGGGGCUAAUACCGGAUAGGAGCUCCUGCUGCAUGGUGGGGGUUGGAAAGUUUCGGCGGUUGGGGAUGGACUCGCGGCUUAUCAGCUUGUUGGUGGGGUAGUGGCUUACCAAGGCUUUGACGGGUAGCCGGCCUGAGAGGGUGACCGGCCACAUUGUGACUGAGGUACGGCCCAGACUCCUACGGGAGGCAGCAGUGGGGAAUAUUGCACAAUGGGCGGAAGCCUGAUGCAGCAACGCCGCGUGCGGGAUGACGGCCUUCGGGUUGUAAACCGCUUUCGCCUGUGACGAAGCGUGAGUGACGGUAAUGGGUAAAGAAGCACCGGCUAACUACGUG